Podarcis lilfordi (Lilford's wall lizard) is the source of this 80-nucleotide non-coding RNA. Lineage: Eukaryota; Metazoa; Chordata; Lepidosauria; Squamata; Lacertidae. The record is from the annotation of a GenBank genome assembly.
CUCCAGCUGUUUUUUGGACUACAAUUCCCAUCAUCCCUGACCUAAGGAUGAUGGGAGUUGUAGUCCAAAAACAGCUGGAG